This 439-nucleotide ribosomal RNA is filed under the name uncultured Parabacteroides sp. RNAcentral's name for it is "bacterial SSU rRNA". It matches the Rfam family "Bacterial small subunit ribosomal RNA", at positions 338 to 774 of the family's 1533-position model. The record is from RNAcentral. Lineage: Bacteria; Pseudomonadati; Bacteroidota; Bacteroidia; Bacteroidales; Tannerellaceae.
CCUACGGGAGGCAGCAGUGAGGAAUAUUGGUCAAUGGCCGAGAGGCUGAACCAGCCAAGUCGCGUGAAGGAAGAAGGAUCUAUGGUUUGUAAACUUCUUUUAUAGGGGAAUAAAGUGGAGGACGUGUCCUUUUUUGUAUGUACCCUAUGAAUAAGCAUCGGCUAACUCCGUGCCAGCAGCCGCGGUAAUACGGAGGAUGCGAGCGUUAUCCGGAUUUAUUGGGUUUAAAGGGUGCGUAGGUGGUGAUUUAAGUCAGCGGUGAAAGUUUGUGGCUCAACCAUAAAAUUGCCGUUGAAACUGGGUUACUUGAGUGUGUUUGAGGUAGGCGGAAUGCGUGGUGUAGCGGUGAAAUGCAUAGAUAUCACGCAGAACUCCGAUUGCGAAGGCAGCUUACUAAACCAUAACUGACACUGAAGCACGAAAGCGUGGGGAUCAAACA